This 478-nucleotide ribosomal RNA is filed under the name uncultured bacterium. Its description in RNAcentral is "partial 16S ribosomal RNA". It matches the Rfam family "Bacterial small subunit ribosomal RNA", at positions 28 to 507 of the family's 1533-position model. The record is from RNAcentral.
GAUGAACGCUGGCGGCGUGCUUAACACAUGCAAGUCGAACGGGAAAUAUUUCAUUGAGACUUCGGUGGAUUUGAUUUAUUUCUAGUGGCGGACGGGUGAGUAACGCGUGGGUAACCUGCCUUAUACAGGGGGAUAACAGUCAGAAAUGGCUGCUAAUACCGCAUAAGCGCACAGAGCUGCAUGGCUCAGUGUGAAAAACUCCGGUGGUAUAAGAUGGACCCGCGUUGGAUUAGCUAGUUGGUGGGGUAACGGCCCACCAAGGCGACGAUCCAUAGCCGGCCUGAGAGGGUGAACGGACACAUUGGGACUGAGACACGGCCCAGACUCCUACGGGAGGCAGCAGUGGGGAAUAUUGCACAAUGGGGGAAACCCUGAUGCAGCGACGCCGCGUGAAGGAAGAAGUAUCUCGGUAUGUAAACUUCUAUCAGCAGGGAAGAUAGUGACGGUACCUGACUAAGAAGCCCCGGCUAACUACGUG